This 540-nucleotide ribosomal RNA is filed under the name Bifidobacterium animalis subsp. lactis. Its description in RNAcentral is "bacterial SSU rRNA". It matches the Rfam family "Bacterial small subunit ribosomal RNA", at positions 161 to 703 of the family's 1533-position model. Lineage: Bacteria; Bacillati; Actinomycetota; Actinomycetes; Bifidobacteriales; Bifidobacteriaceae. The record is from RNAcentral.
UGGUAAUACCGGAUGCUCCGCUCCAUCGCAUGGUGGGGUGGGAAAUGCUUUUGCGGCAUGGGAUGGGGUCGCGUCCUAUCAGCUUGUUGGCGGGGUGAUGGCCCACCAAGGCGUUGACGGGUAGCCGGCCUGAGAGGGUGACCGGCCACAUUGGGACUGAGAUACGGCCCAGACUCCUACGGGAGGCAGCAGUGGGGAAUAUUGCACAAUGGGCGCAAGCCUGAUGCAGCGACGCCGCGUGCGGGAUGGAGGCCUUCGGGUUGUAAACCGCUUUUGUUCAAGGGCAAGGCACGGUUUCGGCCGUGUUGAGUGGAUUGUUCGAAUAAGCACCGGCUAACUACGUGCCAGCAGCCGCGGUAAUACGUAGGGUGCGAGCGUUAUCCGGAUUUAUUGGGCGUAAAGGGCUCGUAGGCGGUUCGUCGCGUCCGGUGUGAAAGUCCAUCGCCUAACGGUGGAUCUGCGCCGGGUACGGGCGGGCUGGAGUGCGGUAGGGGAGACUGGAAUUCCCGGUGUAACGGUGGAAUGUGUAGAUAUCGGAAA